AAUAACUCAUUUGUCUGAAAAACAAGAGACACUAGUAAAUUCUCUAGCCCAGGGUCCAGUUCCGAGUUCCAUCCUCACUUCCAGGCAGCCUGAAGCCAGCCCUUCCUGCUCCUUCCCCCGCCUCGAACAGCUUCUCUUUUCACCAGGACGACGGGAGGACCCCUGAGGGACCCCUGCCUCCAUCCCUCGGGGCCGCUGCAACGGAGCCCCUGGCAAUAUCGGUCUAGGUGUGAGUGUCCCAGUGCAGAGCCCCCUGGGGCCUCCCUCCGGCCAGCCCUCCGCUCCUGGCCGUCAACCCCCAUGCAGCAGAGCCCCUCUUCGAUACCACAUUUUAUGAGCAGACGCAUCUGUGGGUCGUUUCUCCCAUGAUGUCGGCACCUACUCUUCUCCCAGAUUGGAUGAACAUGGAACCACACUCUGUCUUCCUCUCCCUGCCUGGACUUACUCGCCACAUUUAAGCCUUUAUUCAUUUGGAAGUUAUACUGGAGGGUGUAACAGUUUCCUAGGGCUACUCUAACAAAGGACUGUAAACCAGGUGGCUUAAAACAAUACGUACUGUCUUGCCUUUCUGGAUGAGCCCAAAAAUCAAGGCGUGGGCAGCGCUGGUUCCUCCAGGAGAUCCUGAGCGAGAAACCUUCCUGUGUCUCAUCUUGGCUUCUGGCGAUGCUUGCCUCUCCUUGGCUGCUAGCUGCACCACUCUGAUGUCUUUGGAGGCCUUCUCUGUCUCUGUGUCCUCCCCUCUUCUUAUGAAAACAUCAGAUACUGGAUUCAGGAUACAGACUCCGUGAGAUCUUUAAUUACAUCCGCCAAGACCUUAUUAUUAUUACUUUUUAACAUUUGUCUAUUCACUUUUGGCUGCAUUGGGCCUCAGCUGUGGCAUGCAGGAUCUUUACUGCGGCACACAAGAUUUUUCUCUGGGAGCUUCUUGUUAAAGAAGAUAAGUGAAGUUACGUUACACACGCGUGGGUCUGCCCCUGGGCUGCUGGUACCUGCGUGGCGUGGUGCUGUGAUGACCACAGCUUCGGGGGAUGUCCUUGAGCAGUGGACAUCAGCUCACUGAGGCGCUCAGCUGACUUCUCUGGCUUUUACGCAUGCCUUCCGCACAGAGUCCAAACACAGCCUAAAACCUGGAAGCCAGUCACACUGUAGCUUAAGGUCUUGUUCCAAGUGCCUGUGAAACCUGCACCCCAGGAAGCCCCAGACUGUGUCUGGAAUGAAAGGAAGCAGGUCUGGGGCUGAGGAACUGGGGGCCCUGGGUCCCCAGGAGGGAUGGCUCAGCAAAGCAGCAACUGUACACUAUGGCUGUGUGUCGGGCACGGCAGGUCCCGAAAACCUAUGUCUGUCUUUGAUUCAAACCACCGCUCCCAGUG
Molecule: long non-coding RNA, 1370 nt
Organism: Bos taurus (domestic cattle)
Lineage: Eukaryota; Metazoa; Chordata; Mammalia; Artiodactyla; Bovidae
Source: Ensembl